Molecule: ribosomal RNA, 400 nt
Filed under: uncultured bacterium
Lineage: Bacteria
Description: partial 16S ribosomal RNA
Rfam family: Archaeal small subunit ribosomal RNA
Source: RNAcentral
CACCGGCAGCUCUAGUGGUAACAAUUUUUAUUGGGCCUAAAGCGUCCGUAGCCGGUUUAAUAAGUCUCUGGUGAAAUCCUGUAGCUUAACUGUGGGAAUUGCUGGAGAUACUAUUAGACUUGAGACCGGGAGAGGUUAGAGGUACUCCCAGGGUAGAGGUGAAAUUCUGUAAUCCUGGGAGGACCGCCUGUUGCGAAGGCGUCUAACUGGAACGGUUCUGACGGUGAGGGACGAAAGUUAGGGGCGCGAACCGGAUUAGAUACCCGGGUAGUCCUAACUGUAAACGAUGCGGACUUGGUGUUGGGGUGGCUUUGAGCUGCUCCAGUGCCGAAGGGAAGCUGUUAAGUCCGCCGCCUGGGAAGUACGGUCGCAAGACUGAAACUCAAAUGAAUUGGCGGGG